ACCUCAGAACAGCCAUUCUUGAGGCAUUCUCCUCCGAGAACACAGCCAUGUGUCCACCUCAGCUGUUCAUCCUCAUGAUGCUUUUAGCACCUGUAGUUCAUGGUGGCAAGCACAAUGAGAGACAUCCAGCCCUCGCUGCUCCACUGCGACAUGCUGAGCACAGCCCAGGAGGCCCUCUCCCUCCCAGACAUCUUCUUCAGCAGCCAGCUGCAGAGCGCUCUACAGCUCAUCGAGGACAAGGGCCACGUGGAACUGCCAGAGGAGUUCGCGGACCCGGUGCCCCAGGAGCACAGAUUGCAGCCCAAGCUUUCAGCCGCGCCCCAAUUCCCAUGGCAGUGGUCCGCAGAGAGCUCUCCUGUGAGAGCUACCCCAUUGAGCUACGCUGUCCAGGCACAGACGUCAUCAUGAUCGAGAGCGCCAACUACGGGAGGACAGAUGACAAGAUCUGUGACUCGGACCCUGCUCAGAUGGAGAAUAUUCGGUGUUAUCUGCCAGAUGCCUAUAAGAUUAUGUCUCAAAGGUAUGGUGCCUAAGACCUCUUCCUUUCAUGGGUAUCAAAAGUCAGUGUAAAUUUGCUCGACAGACAGUGUGGAUAAGGGUAUCAGGUAGUGGGUGUUUUAGAAGAAUUCAAGUUUCCACUGAAGAUCACACCCCUAUCACUGGAGUGGCCGUGUUACAAUCAGCACCAUGAACUUGGAAAACAGUAAGCUCAGUAGCGUUAUUAGUAAGUUUAAUGUAGUAGGCCUAGUGUUGUGUUCUGCUAGGGUUCUCUAAAAAUGGAUUGGUUAUAAUAGAGACAAAAUUUUCUCUUAA
Molecule: long non-coding RNA, 813 nt
Filed under: Rattus norvegicus (Norway rat)
Lineage: Eukaryota; Metazoa; Chordata; Mammalia; Rodentia; Muridae
Description: long non-coding RNA NONRATT009821
Source: RNAcentral